AGACUAAAACUCGUCAUUAAUACACUAUACAUAGACUGUGUUUUUCCAAUGGGUAAUUUUUAUAGAACCCCCUUGAUCUAGUGUUAUACAGUUCUGUUUGUCUUUAGUAAGGUUCUAAGGGAACUCUAGUAGAAGAAAGUUGUCAUAGAAUAAUAAGGAUAAGAAGAAUGGCCACCCCAUUAUCAACCGUUACCAACAAUACCUACAACAUGUAUAAUAUACAUGGUGAUUGUCAAGCUGUACAGAUUGGAACAUCAAACACAAUAAAUGAAACUAGUAACCAGACCGACAGUGAGGAUUGCACAUCCGAUAUGGAAGAUGUGAGAUUCCAGAUCAAUCGGAUAACAGAAGAGAUGGCUGAAAAAUUUGAAAGAAAAGAUGAAGAAAUAGCUGAAUUAAAAGACAGGGUGGCUGACCUGGAAGCAUUUAAGAAGAAAGUAGAACAAUCGGAAGUCAAGACAAACACCAACACUAAUACUAGACGUUAUGUCAGGGAUACGAGUAAUGAUAUUACUCUAAAGUUGGUAUAUGGCCCAUGUAGAUAUAAAGAUAUGGGUUCUAUAACUGUCAGUAAGAAAGUCAGUGCUAAUGAUUUAAUGAAGUUGAUAGAAGAGAAGAAGAAUAAGAAGAUCAGAUGGAUUGGUAUAAUAGGAUAUAGAGAUGGUAGUUUGGGAGAGAUCUACGACAGUAAAAACAACAAGAACGACUAUAGCCUGGAACAACUUGGUGUUGUAGACCAGGACCAGGUUUGGUACUGGUGAUAGUAAAAUACAGUGAUUAUAUUGAUAUGAUGUAUUGAUGGGCUCCUUUAUAUUAAACAAUGAGGUGUUUGGGGGGGGGGGGGGGUAGAUAUUACUUAUAGUAAAAUAUAAUGGUCGAACCAGAACGAGGUUAGGUAUUAUUGUCUCUUGAUUAGGUUGUGAGGGUGGAAUAAAGUAAAAUGUUUGAGUGGUGUUGUGGGUGAUGUGGUGUGGUGGUGUGGGUGCUAAGUUAGUGAAGAGAUUUAUCAACCACACCAGCACCCUAACCAAGUAUCUUAUACCCCCUUCGCCCCCCCCCCCCCCCCCAACCCCCAUGAUUGAUAUAUUGAAUCUUACUCUAAGUAAUAUCUUACCUGUCCCACCUGUUCCACCUGAUUGAUAUAUUGAAUCUUACUCUAAGUAAUAUCUUACCUGUCUCACCUGUCCCACCUGAUUGAUAUAUUGAAUCUUACUCUAAGUAAUAUCUAACAUCCUAAUAUAAAACUAGCUUACUACUGUAAAUAAAGCUGUAAUUCAAUAGUCACGAUUAUCAGGUGAUAUGUAGUCGUGAUCAUGUGAUAACUAACUGACAUGUAUAUAAUAUAUAAUUAUAUUAGUGAAACAAUGUUUUAUAUUUUGUAUUCUAAUUUUGUUUCAAUAAAAUAUUUUAUAACUAAA
Molecule: long non-coding RNA, 1418 nt
Organism: Patella vulgata (common limpet)
Lineage: Eukaryota; Metazoa; Mollusca; Gastropoda; Patellidae
Exons: 3
Source: RefSeq, a predicted model, not a curated record